Molecule: long non-coding RNA, 587 nt
Organism: Oryzias melastigma (Indian medaka)
Lineage: Eukaryota; Metazoa; Chordata; Actinopteri; Beloniformes; Adrianichthyidae
Exons: 3
Source: RefSeq, a predicted model, not a curated record
GUUCGGAUCGUGUCACGGUUUUAGGGUCACGGUUCGGAUCAUUUUUUGGAUCAGUAAAAAAAAAAAACAGCAAAAAACAACAAGAUAUAAGCUAAAUUAAUUUUUGGAAACACUUCGAAUCAUAUCAAUAAGCAUACAAAGUACUUCACUAGCUCUGGGAAUCUCAGGGUACAUCGCGAUAUGAUGCGAUUCACGAUACCGAUGUAUCUCGAUAUGGCAAAUAUUCCAAAAACCAUUAUAUUACCUGUUAAUCUAUGAUAUUGUCAUGCCUGCCCUGCUCCACCCCCUCAAGGUAAUCUUCCCUUGAUUUCUGUCACCUGUGACUGUGCCUAUUUAAACCAGCUCCUGCAUCACAGCCUUGCUGGAACGUUUCAGCCUUACAGCCACGACUACCUGCUCCUGAAAAGCUCCAGACCCCGUUCAUCCAUUCCAUUCCAAUCUGACCUGACCUGUUUCUGCCUCACAACCACCCGUUCAGCCUGCUUCCCUUGUGCCUUUUCCACUACUCCAUCUUCAAGACAAGUGCUGCACCUCCUGGUGGCUGGAGGAGAUCCCUGCACUGACUCACCUGUUCCUGCUUAUCCUCC